Lates calcarifer (barramundi perch) is the source of this 286-nucleotide long non-coding RNA. RefSeq lists it as uncharacterized. The record is from RefSeq and is a predicted model, not a curated record. Lineage: Eukaryota; Metazoa; Chordata; Actinopteri; Centropomidae. The transcript is spliced from 3 exons.
UUUUAAAAAGACUCUGGAACUUUAUUAAAUGAAUGUGGUGGAUCAGGCAAGUAAAUCAUGAGGGAAUAUACAGCUGUGAAGUCAGUGAUGCUGAGGAGACUCUGAUAACCAACACCUUUCUGAGGAGAGAGAAAAGUCAAGUGAACUCAACCAAUGUUGGAGCCAUUAUAGGUGGAGUGGUCAUUUUGGUCGUAGUAGCAGCAGCAGUAGUUUUCCUGGUGUUACACUGUAAAAAGAAAACAGGUCGACAAGAAAACAACAUGAGAGAGUCAAAAGAUGAUGAAAC